This 234-nucleotide ribosomal RNA is filed under the name Clostridioides difficile. RNAcentral describes it as "partial 23S ribosomal RNA". It matches the Rfam family "Bacterial large subunit ribosomal RNA", at positions 1361 to 1590 of the family's 2925-position model. The record is from RNAcentral. Lineage: Bacteria; Bacillati; Bacillota; Clostridia; Peptostreptococcales; Peptostreptococcaceae.
AAGGUUCGUCCGCCCUGGGUUAGUCGGGACCUAAGCUGAGGCCGAAAGGCGUAGGUGAUGGACAACAGGUUGAUAUUCCUGUACUCCCGAUAACCGUUUGAGAGAAGGGAUGACACAGUAGGAUAAGCUAAGCACACUGUUGGUUAUGUGUGCACAAGCAUUGAGGCAGUCAAAGUAGGCAAAUCCGCUUUGAUAAUGCUGGGAUGUGAUGGGGAGCGAAAUUUAGUAGCGAAG